GUUUUAAUUUUUUUAUGAGAAUAAUAAAAAAUGUUAUAUCUGUUUUAUUAAUAAUAAUAAUAAAUUUAUCAAGAUAAUUAAAUUGAGAAAAAAAAAAAGAAACUGCCCCAACUAAAAAUUAGGAGCACUUAUAUAGUUAUACGUAUCUUUUUCAAGUUCAGUUGUUGUGUUCCCUCACCAUUGCUACCUCCCGUUCCCCUCACCAUUGCUACCUCCGGAUCCCCUUUCUACCUUCAGCUCUCAUCUCCGACGACAAUUCCCGUGUCAAAUUCCAUUGCAGCAGAAAAAUUCAUUCGGCCCGUGACAAAUUCAUUCGGCCCACGACAAAUUCCAUUUCAGCAGACUUCGCAAUUUGCAAUUUCUACCUAGCAAACCGUUUUGGGAGAAAUCAACUACUACAAUCGCCUUUGUUGCCAGCAAUUUACAGUUAUUUUCAAGGUUUAUGACUCAGAUGGUAAUGGAAAGGUGACUUUCAAUGACAUCUUAGAAGUGCUGAGGACAUGACUGGUUCAUUUAUGUCUAAGGAGCAAAGAGAGGUGGGAGAGCAAGAGAUUUAGAAGCAAAGCCACCCUCACCCAGGUGAAAAACUGGGGAAAAGAUUGCUUUACCCCUACCAAGCCUUUUUCUCUUCGACUGUUUGACUGUAUAUGAUUGCCAUACUGGCUUGGGGCUCGUCGUACACUCCAAGUCCUCCAGGGCAAUUAAAUAACGUGUAAAUACAGUUAACUUAUAAUACUACCUUCAUUUCUAUUACAGUAGAAGGGAUUUACUAAGGCCUUUUGUAGGAAACAGAAAGGCAUGGUCUUUUUGCUGCUUUACAACUAAUAUAGUGGCACAUACUUUAUUGUGGCAUUUGAUUUUCUUGAAGACAGACAAGAGAGAUGUCAUUUAUGGGUUCUCUUAUAAGAACAAGUUUUGUUGACAUCACUGGUGGGUUCUCUUAUACUGUGGUCAUUGUUUUCUGAAACUCAUAAUGCUUAUUAAUUUUUUGGAUCAUCCAUGAGAUUUUAUGAAUUAUGAAGUUGUUCUCUUUGAAACUUUCUUUGGAAUUGUUUUCUUUUGCGUGGCUUUGUUGAGUUUAGUGCGCAACUGGCCACAUAAUAUAUACACUCUUUCUGCACUGGCCUUUUCCUUUUCCUUGUACCCUAAUGUCUUCCCUUACAACUCUCUAUUAUCAAGGUACUGAAAUACCAUCCUUUAGCUCUUCUCCUCCAUGAUCUAUAACACAGCAAAAAGAAAAACAAAAAAAAAAGCUGCUUCCUUGGACAUAGGCUUUAGUCCUGCCUGUGAUGUCCCUAUUGUUUAUCUCAUUUUGUAGAAUCGUACUUCCAAUUGAGCCAUCCUUGAUAUAGUCAAUUUGAAAUGAGCUAUAUGGCUUUUAGUGCCACUAUUAGGUCCAUCUGGUACGUGUUAAGGCAGCUGUCAUUUUUCAGUAGUCAUAAAUAUUUUUAACUCCUCUACAUGCUGUUCACUCUUUAAUAAAGUAUUGUAUCUAUAUGGAAUCACUAAUGCAAUUGAAAAGUUGGCUAUUCUUUCAAAAAUGUAAAGCCUUAAGUUCCCCAAAUUACGAUGAUCUUUUGGAAGGAGCAUCAACUCUACUAUUUGCUGCAUCGAUAAAAAUGUGCAAAAAAUAAUAUAUGUGCAAAAAUCAAAGUGUUUUAUUUAUUCAGAUGCAGCACGUACCAUCGAAUAGGCCUCGUGUUAUAUGGAAUCAAAUAGACGUAUCUGACUUUCAUUUCAUUAUUUUGAUAACGAAAAAUAUUUUUCAUUGUCUAUAUUAAAGUAUUUGUGAUUUCUUGUGUAUAGUGCCCUUGUCAACCGCUGGGUACCCUAGACUGUGGAUAUUAUGUGUGUCGCUACAUGCUUGAGACGGUACAGUUGAGACGACUACUUAUUCCUGAUAAGGAACUUGAACAUUAGUUAUAAUUUGGCUUUUUUUAAUUUCUAUAUGAUUACGAAUCUUUUAGACUGUAGAUUUGUAUUUAUAUUAUAUUAGAGAUAUGAAGAGCAGUUUGGAUAAAUUGGUUGAAAAUACUUGAUUAUUAUUUUAUAUCUGAAUGAUCUUGUCACAACUAUGAUAAAUUAAUUUGUGCAUGAUUAAUUAAAAAUUUUAAUUACUUUUCAAGUUUUUGUAUAUGAGU
Molecule: long non-coding RNA, 2141 nt
Organism: Beta vulgaris subsp. vulgaris (sugar beet)
Lineage: Eukaryota; Viridiplantae; Streptophyta; Magnoliopsida; Caryophyllales; Amaranthaceae
Exons: 3
Source: RefSeq, a predicted model, not a curated record